ACGGGAGGCAGCAGUGAGGAAUAUUGGUCAAUGGGCGGAAGCCUGAACCAGCCAAGUCGCGUGAGGGAAGACGGUCCUAUGGAUUGUAAACCUCUUUAGCCGGGGAGCAAUAAGCGCCACGUGUGGUGUGAUGAGAGUACCCGGAGAAUAAGGAUCGGCUAACUCCGUGCCAGCAGCCGCGGUAAUACGGAGGAUCCGAGCGUUAUCCGGAUUUAUUGGGUUUAAAGGGUGCGCAGGCGGUCUUUUAAGUCAGUGGUCAAAUCGUGGUGCUCAACGCCAUCCCGCCAUUGAUACUGGGAGACUUGAUUGCGGUUGAGGUAGGCGGAAUUCGUCGUGUAGCGGUGAAAUGCAUAGAUAUGACGAAGAACACCGAUUGCGUAGGCAGCUUACCAAGCCGUAAAUGACGCUCAUGCACGAAAGUGCGGGGAUCGAACAGGAUUAGAUACCCUGGUA
This 453-nucleotide ribosomal RNA is filed under the name uncultured Porphyromonadaceae bacterium. RNAcentral's name for it is "partial 16S ribosomal RNA". It matches the Rfam family "Bacterial small subunit ribosomal RNA", at positions 341 to 792 of the family's 1533-position model. The record is from RNAcentral. Lineage: Bacteria; Pseudomonadati; Bacteroidota; Bacteroidia; Bacteroidales; Porphyromonadaceae.